RNAcentral lists this ribosomal RNA (3133 nucleotides) under Chlamydomonas sp. SAG 66.72. RNAcentral's name for it is "partial large subunit ribosomal RNA". It matches the Rfam family "Bacterial large subunit ribosomal RNA". Lineage: Eukaryota; Viridiplantae; Chlorophyta; Chlorophyceae; Chlamydomonadales; Chlamydomonadaceae. The record is from RNAcentral.
UCAAAUGAAUUAAGGCUUACGGCGGAGACCUAGGCACCCAGAGACGAAGAAGGGCGCAGAUACCGGCGAUACGCUUCGGGGAGCUGGUAACAAGCUUUGAUCCGAAGAUCCCCGAAUAGGGCAACCUCAAGAACUUUCUAUGAAUUCAUAAGUAGAAUAGAGACAACCCGGUGAAUUGAAACAUCUUAGUAGCUGGAGGAAAAGAAAGCAAACGCGAUUCCCGUAGUAGCGGCGAGCGAACCGGGAUCAGCCUAAACCUGACUGUAAAAAGAAAGGGGUAGUGGGAAGACUAAUUUUUUAGAGUGUAAGACGAAGCAGCUGAAUCCUGCACCAUAGAUGGUGAAAGUCCAGUAGUUAUAAACAUUUGCUCUCUUUACAAUGCAAUGCAAUCUUUGCGGAGCAAAGAAAGAGAGGCUAAAAAAGAAGCACGCAUGGCCAAUUAUUUUGGCUUUGUUUUUGGCAAAAUAAUAGAUAAAUCUAGGCCAGCGCGCUAUAAAAAAAGUAAUAUCCCGAGUAGCAUGGGGCACGUGGAAUCCCGUGUGAAUCAGCGAGGACCACCUCGUAAGGCUAAAUACUCCUGGGUGACCGAUAGUGCAAAGUACCGCGAGGGAAUGGUGAUAAGAACCCCUGUAGGGGAGUGAAAUAGAACAUGAAACCGUAAGCUGACAAGCAGUGGGAGGAGCGGCUUCGCCGCCUGACCGCGUGCCUGUUGAAGAAUGAGCCAGCGACUUAUAGGAAGUGGCAAGGUUAAGGAGUCAAAUCCGGAGCCUUAGCGAAAGCGAGUCUUAAUAGGGCGAUUAAAGAGUCACUUCCUAUGGACCCGAACCCGGGUGAUCUAAUCAUGACCAGGAUGAAGCUUGGGUAACACCAAGUGGAGGUCCGAACCGACCGAUGUUGAAAAAUCGGCGGAUGAGUUGUGAUUAGGGGAGAAAUUCCAAUCGAACUCGGAGCUAGCUGGAUCUCCCCGAAAUGCGUUGAGGCGCAGCGGUGACUAUGAGCUAUCUAGAGGUAAAGCUACUGUUUCGAUGCGGGCUGCGAAAGCGGUACCAAGUCGUGGCAAACUCAGAAUACUAGAUACAGCCUUCAGUCAACCAGUGAGAUGUGCAGGGAUAAGCUUGUACAUCAAGAGGGAAACAGCCCAGAUCACCAGCUAAGGCCCCUAAAUGGUCACUAAGUGGAAAAGGAUGUGAUGUUGCAGAAACAACCAGGAGGUUUGCUUAGAAGCAGCAAGCCUUAAAAGAGUGCGUAAUAGCUCACUGGUAAAGCGAUAUUGCGCCGACAAUGGCCGGGACUAAGUGACCUGCCGAAGCUGUGAUAUUUGAUUUAUAUGCCCUCUUGCCCCCCCUUGCCCCGUAAGGUUCCCCCCCCCAAAUAUUUAUUUUAUUUAUUUGGGGGGGGGGGUAAAUAAGGGGGUAGGGGCAAAAAUCAAAUAGGUAGGGGAGCGUUCCGUUAUCGGGUGAAGUUUUCACGUAAGUGAUUAUGGACGAAUCGGAAGUGAGAAUGUUGGCUUGAGUAACGAAAACAUUGGUGAGAAUCCAAUGCCCCGAAAACCUAAGGGUUCCUCCACUAGGCUCGUCCAUGGGGGGUUAGUCAGGUCCUAAGGCUAGUUAGAUUUAUCUAAGUCGUCGAUGGAAAACAGGUUAAUAUUCCUGUACUGGUUUUAUUGGGAACCAAGGGACGAAGGAGACUAAACUGAAACUGCUACUGGAUUUCAGUGGAAGCAUUCAAGGUGUUGAUAGCUAGAAUAAAAACUAUGCUUGAGCUGAGAUGUGAUCCCUAUACUAUACAAGUUAUAGUGUAGUCAGUGAUGUCAAACUUCCAAGAAAAGCUUGAACACCAUAACAAUAAAAUCACCUGUACCUGAAACCGACACAGGUAGGUUGGUAGAGAAUACCAAGGGGCGCGAGAGAACUCUCUCUAAGGAACUCGGCAAACUGGCCCCGUAACUUCGGAAGAAGGGGCACCCUCUUUCUUUUAAUCAUAAAAGAGGGUCGCAGUGACCAGGCUCUGGGAACUGUUUAUCAAAAACACAGGUCUCCGCAAAGUCGUAAGACGAUAUAUGGGGGCUGACGCCUGCCCAGUGCCGGAAGGUUAAGGAAGUUGGUUAUUAAGUAAUUAAGAAGCUGACGACCGAAGCCCCGGUGAACGGCGGUCGUAACUAUAACGAUCCUAAGGUAGCGAAAUUCAUUGCCAAGUAAGUUUUGGCCUGCACGAAAGGCGUAAUCAUCAGAGCGCUGUCUCGGAGAGAGACUCGGUGAAAUAGACUUGUCCCGUGAAGAUGCGGACUACCUAUACCUGGACAGAAAGACCCUAUGAAGCUUGACUGUAUCCUGGAAUUGGGUUCGGGCUUUUCUUGCGCAGCCUAGGUGGGAGGCUAUGAAGGUUCCCUUCCGGGGGAAUUUGAGCCAUCAUUGAGAGACCACUCUGGAAGAGCUAGAAUCCUAAUGGUGAUCUUUGAAUCAAGACACUUGACAGUUUCAGGUGGGCAGUUUAUCUGGGGCGGAUGCCUCCUAAAGUGUAACGGAGGCGUGCAAAGGUUCUCUCAGUCUGGACGGAAAUCAGACAUUGAGUGCAAAGGCAAAAGAGAGCUUGACUGUAAGACCAACAAGUCGAGCAGGGGCGAAAGCCGGCCUUAGUGAUCCGACGGUGCCGUGUGGAAGGGCCGUCGCUCAACGGAUAAAAGUUACUCUAGGGAUAACAGGCUGAUCUUCCCCAAGAGUUCACAUCGACGGGAAGGUUUGGCACCUCGAUGUCGGUUCAUCACAUCCUGGAGCGGCAGUACGUUCCAAGGGUUGGGCUGUUCGCCCAUUAAAGUGGUACGUGAGCUGGGUUCAAAACGUCGUGAGACAGUUUGGUCCAUAUCCGGUAUAGGCGUUAGAGCAUUGAGAGGAGCCUUCGAUAGUACGAGAGGAUUUUCGAAAGGUAAGCCAAUAGUGUAUCGGUUAUUUUUCCAAAAGUAAACGCCGAGUAGCCACGCUUAUAGGGAUAACUGCUGAAAGCAUCUAAGUAGGAAACCCACCUCAAGAUGAGUGCUCUCCAUUAGGUCGCGGCAAGACAAGCCGUUUAAUAGGCAUUAGGUGUACAAUCAGUAAUGGUUUUAGCCGAGAUGUACUAAAGACCGAUUGAUUUUGAC